This 353-nucleotide ribosomal RNA is filed under the name uncultured bacterium. RNAcentral's name for it is "bacterial SSU rRNA". It matches the Rfam family "Bacterial small subunit ribosomal RNA", at positions 8 to 350 of the family's 1533-position model. The record is from RNAcentral.
AGAGUUUGAUCCUGGCUCAGGAUGAACGCUAGCUACAGGCUUAACACAUGCAAGUCGAGGGGAAACGACAUCGAAAGCUUGCUUUUGAUGGGCGUCGACCGGCGCACGGGUGAGUAACGCGUAUCCAACCUGCCCAUCACUUGGGGAUAACCUUGCGAAAGUAAGACUAAUACCCAAUGAUAUCUCUAGAAGACAUCUGAAAAGAGAUUAAAGAUUUAUCGGUGAUGGAUGGGGAUGCGUCUGAUUAGCUUGUUGGCGGGGUAACGGCCACCAAGGCUACGAUCAGUAGGGGUUCUGAGAGGAAGGUCCCCCANAUUGGAACUGAGACACGGUCCAAACUCCUACGAGAUGCA